Long non-coding RNA from Oreochromis aureus, 1151 nucleotides. The record is from Ensembl. Lineage: Eukaryota; Metazoa; Chordata; Actinopteri; Cichliformes; Cichlidae.
AAAAGAGGAUGUCCAAGGAACCUGUUAAAUCUGAAGACAGAGCCAACAACAGAGAACAGGUGAAAACAGUCACAUCAGUGUUGUACAAAUAACCAACAUUGUGGUUUUAAACUUCCUGGUGGACUCCCAAAUCCUUCUUUGCUGUUGUUCUUUAACUCAAAUACAUUUGAUCACAUUUGUAGCUGAGAUCUCUUUUCCUAUACAGUGUUUACCUGACCAGAGACAGCCAGAGGAGCAGGAUGAUCUUCAGUACACCAGCAUCCACUUCUCCAAUAACCAGGCAGAUCCUCUCUACUCCAACAUCAGAGCAGCUCAGCCUCACAGACAAAUGCAGGAACAGGAAGUUACUGAGUACACUGCUGUUAGAUUUAACAGAGGCAGUGCAGCCAAGAGAGACAGAAGUCAGGAAACAGGAGAGUCUCCAUGUGCACUGUUCUCCACAGUCAACAAAACCAGAUGAAGGGACGGGUUGAUGAUGAUGUGAUAUUUACGUAGACUUAAAAAAUAUUAUAAAAUAUAAUAUUAAUAUUAAUAUAUAUUUGUUGUUGUUAAAUAUCACACUUUUAAUAAUAGACCAAGAUCUGAGUGUAUACAAAAUGCAGGUUUUAAAUGAAGAAUUAUUUUUUAAGGGACAAGCAGCUAUCCAGACCUACCUGGAUGUAGGAAUCCAAUAAAGUCUUUUCACAACAGACAUGUCAAAGUGGAUCAGCUUCCUCACUUUGUUCAGUGGAUCACACUUUGCUAACUGUACCAGUCUCAGAUUUAAUUAUUCUGAAACUAAGUUUAAGCUUCCCAUAACUUUUUGUUGCAAGUUACAUUACUGAUAUAAUAAAUAUAAUAUGUUUGUAUUGUUCAUCCACAAGUGCAGUCUCUGGCUCAACCACAGAAGCUUGGUAUGUUUGGUUGUCAGUCCAGACAUUACUGCUUGAAUGCCUGUCAUGAAUUUAGCUAAUCCAAGUGCAAUUGCGUGGAGAAAGUCUUUAACAUUGUCCCAACUUCCCUUAAGUACAGUUGCUGCAGAUGUGGGCUGGAUAUGCUCAUCUCUCCUGGUGUCCUGCAAGGAAACAACCACAUUCUUUAGAAUAAAAAGCUAUAUUUAGUCUACUUAUUUCAUUUAUCUGUGGCCAGGUUGUGGGAGAAGCAGCCUAAGC